RNAcentral lists this unclassified non-coding RNA (515 nucleotides) under Bombus terrestris (buff-tailed bumblebee). RNAcentral describes it as "misc RNA ENSBTSG00005031151.1". The record is from RNAcentral. Lineage: Eukaryota; Metazoa; Arthropoda; Insecta; Hymenoptera; Apidae.
CGUCGAACCACGCGUAUACGUAUUCCGGCCGCGCGUGCAGACGUGGUAAACAUCGAUGGGAGAAAGAGGAUAGCUGGUGGAAAAUGGCCGCGACGAAAUCUACGCGUACGUGAUUAUCGAUCGGUUGCUAAUCGCCUGCGAAAGUGAUUUUGGGGUGAAAAUUUACAGAAUGGAACGACCUCGACGAGUUCAAGGGUUGAAAGUCUCAAAGGUCUACGAAGAAUCGUGCUAACACGGUGAAAAUAAUGCUUGAACGUAUGCCUGCGAAUUGUAAAUUACAUCGAAUAUUUUUCGAACUGGUUUGCGUACGAAGAAUCUACGAAGCACGAUAAGUAGACUGUGCAAAUAGUCACGGCAGCGUGGACGUAAUAUGUAAUUGCAAUUGACUUUGCUUCAGCCCAAGGACUGUAAAACAAAAACUAACACACAAGCCUGAACACGGAAACGAUUUUUCGUUACGUGAAUGUAACACAACAGUUGCAACAGAAAAAAGAUAACGAACAAAAGAAUCUAAU